RNAcentral lists this ribosomal RNA (376 nucleotides) under uncultured Alphaproteobacteria bacterium. RNAcentral describes it as "bacterial SSU rRNA". It matches the Rfam family "Bacterial small subunit ribosomal RNA", at positions 523 to 898 of the family's 1533-position model. Lineage: Bacteria; Pseudomonadati; Pseudomonadota; Alphaproteobacteria. The record is from RNAcentral.
AUACGAAUGUGGCAAGCGUUGUUCGGAAUCACUGGGCGUAAAGAAUGCGUAGGCGGCUAGACAAGUCAGGAGUGAAAUCCCAGGGCUCAACCCUGGAACUGCUUUUGAAACUGUCUUGCUAGAGUCCCGGAGGGGUUGGCGGAAUUCCGAGUGUAGAGGUGAAAUUCGCAGAUAUUCGGAGGAACACCAGUGGCGUAGGCGGCCAACUGGACGGGAACUGACGCUGAGGCAUGAAAGUGUGGGGAGCAAACAGGAUUAGAUACCCUGGUAGUCCACACCGUAAACGAUGUGUGCUAGUUGUUGGGUGGCAUUGCCAUUCAGUGACGGAGCUAACGUUUUAAGCACACCGCCUGGGAAGUACGGCCGCAAGGUUAAA